GCAAACAGGAUUAGAUACCUUGGUAGUCCACGCUGUAAACGAUGUCGAUUUGGAGGUUGUGCCCUUGAGGCGUGGCUUCCGGAGCUAACGCGUUAAAUCGACCGCCUGGGGAGUACGGCCGCAAGGUUAAAACUCAAAUGAAUUGACGGGGGCCCGCACAAGCGGUGGAGCAUGUGGUUUAAUUCGAUGCAACGCGAAGAACCUUACCUACUCUUGACAUCCAGAGAACUUUCCAGAGAUGGAUUGGUGCCUUCGGGAACUCUGAGACAGGUGCUGCAUGGCUGUCGUCAGCUCGUGUUGUGAAAUGUUGGGUUAAGUCCCGCAACGAGCGCAACCCUUAUCCUUUGUUGCCAGCGGUUCGGCCGGGAACUCAAAGGAGACUGCCAGUGAUAAACUGGAGGAAGGUGGGGAUGACGUCAAGUCAUCAUGGCCCUUACGAGUAGGGCUACACACGUGCUACAAUGGCGUAUACAAAGAGAAGCGACCUCGCGAGAGCAAGCGGACCUCAUAAAGUACGUCGUAGUCCGGAUUGGAGUCUGCAACUCGACUCCAUGAAGUCGGAAUCGCUAGUAAUCGUAGAUCAGAAUGCUACGGUGAAUACGUUCCCGGGCCUU
This 614-nucleotide ribosomal RNA is filed under the name Serratia marcescens. Its description in RNAcentral is "bacterial SSU rRNA". It matches the Rfam family "Bacterial small subunit ribosomal RNA", at positions 768 to 1382 of the family's 1533-position model. Lineage: Bacteria; Pseudomonadati; Pseudomonadota; Gammaproteobacteria; Enterobacterales; Yersiniaceae. The record is from RNAcentral.